This 389-nucleotide long non-coding RNA is filed under the name Homo sapiens (human). RNAcentral's name for it is "non-protein coding lnc-CHST15-3:1". The record is from RNAcentral. Lineage: Eukaryota; Metazoa; Chordata; Mammalia; Primates; Hominidae.
UCAUAGCUUGGAUAUUAUACAGGGAUAGGUGGGCUGCCAGCUCUUAUCUUAUUCACAGAACAUCCCUUAGGCAUUAAGGUUUUGUUUGAACAAAAAAUGGUAUACUGGUUUUAAUUGUUAGGCUCUUUUCAUUUCACUUUCUAAGGCUCAUCUAUGUUUUUCUCUUUUCCUCCUUUGAGAACGAGAUCUGUUGUAAAAUUUCAAGUGACUGUGCCAACUGGGGAAUGCUCUCUGCACAUUACAAAGUCCCUUGGCCUCCCAGCCUCAGGACUCCACCAGUGUGAGAUGAGGAAGAACCAUGCCCUGGUCUCAUGGGAAUGAGAGUCCUCUUCCCCUAUCCCUGAGAGGACUUCACCCAUAUUAAGGCAGGGACCUAAGGACUGGCUGGA